RNAcentral lists this long non-coding RNA (201 nucleotides) under Lathyrus oleraceus (garden pea). RNAcentral's name for it is "Pisum sativum (pea) long non-coding RNA (PSAT_LNC012526)". Lineage: Eukaryota; Viridiplantae; Streptophyta; Magnoliopsida; Fabales; Fabaceae. The record is from RNAcentral.
AAACAAAACCCUGAAGAAACCCCUGAUGAAACCCUUGAAUUACACUCCUGAUUAUUUUGGUGGAACUUAUCAUGCAUGAGGAUAGGUUGCUAAGCUGGGAAUGUGAGAGGUUAAAACCUACUCAUCGGUUGGUAACUGUCGCAACCUGAAAAAUACAGUGUGCGAAAAAACAACCGGCGAAAGAAAAUGACAGAAGAGUCG